AGUGGCUACUUUAAUCGAUCAGAACUCUCAAGAGGCCCAGAAGUGGAAGAUGGUCCAGAUGACAAUUGAAAACUCACUUUGGAGGUAACAGCCAGUGUCAGUUGCCAAACACAUGAGUGAAGAAGCCUUCAUAUUAUUCCAACUCCAGCCUUAGAGCCUUCUAGCUGAGGCCCCUUCAUCACAGUAGAGGUAAGCCCUCCCUAUCCUUUCCUGUUUGAAUUUUUGAUCCAUAAAAACUGUGAGAAAUAAAUAUUUAUUUUUGUUUUAAGUCA
This 272-nucleotide long non-coding RNA is filed under the name Felis catus (domestic cat). RNAcentral describes it as "lncRNA (ENSFCAG00000042457.2)". Lineage: Eukaryota; Metazoa; Chordata; Mammalia; Carnivora; Felidae. The record is from RNAcentral.